CAUAAAGUAAGGAUAUCACUAGGUGUUUGCAAUUUCUCUGACUGUCUGCAGUCAGGUUGUGAAUUAAAGCCACUCACUCAGUACUGUUGGGGCUGAGACUGUGUGCAUGGCUUUGAGGAUGGGAAGGUGCUAAAGAGACAGGCUUAAAGGGACACUCCAGGCACCCAGACCACUUCUGCCCAAUCACCAUUAACCCUGCAAAU
This is a non-coding RNA of Pelobates cultripes (western spadefoot toad), 203 nucleotides long. The record is from the annotation of a GenBank genome assembly. Lineage: Eukaryota; Metazoa; Chordata; Amphibia; Anura; Pelobatidae.